AUUGAACGCUGGCGGCAUGCUUUACACAUGCAAGUCGAACGGUAACAGGCCGCAAGGUGCUGACGAGUGGCGAACGGGUGAGUAAUGCAUCGGAACGUGCCCAGUCGUGGGGGAUAACUACUCGAAAGAGUAGCUAAUACCGUAUACGAUCUAUGGAUGAAAGCGGGGGACCGUAAGGCCUCGCGCGAUUGGAGCGGCCGAUGUCAGAUUAGGCAGUUGGUGGGGUAAAGGCUCACCAAGCCAACGAUCUGUAGCUGGUCUGAGAGGACGACCAGCCACACUGGGACUGAGACACGGCCCAGACUCCUACGGGAGGCAGCAGUGGGGAAUUUUGGACAAUGGGCGCAAGCCUGAUCCAGCAAUGCCGCGUGCAGGAAGAAGGCCUUCGGGUUGUAAACUGCUUUUGUACGGAACGAAACGGCUCUGGUUAAUACCCGGGGCUAAUGACGGUACCGUAAGAAUAAGCACCGGCUAACUACGUG
Molecule: ribosomal RNA, 482 nt
Filed under: uncultured bacterium
Lineage: Bacteria
Description: partial 16S ribosomal RNA
Rfam family: Bacterial small subunit ribosomal RNA
Source: RNAcentral